This 144-nucleotide unclassified non-coding RNA is filed under the name soil metagenome. RNAcentral describes it as "partial internal transcribed spacer 1". The record is from RNAcentral.
CAAGAAACGAGGCUACGUGCCCCCGCUCUUUACCUUGCCUACUGCACUAUCUGUUGCUUUCCUGGCGGCGGUUUGCCUGCCGCCAGGGACAUUGUAAAAGGCCCUGCAUAAGCAUUGAAAAAAACUGAAACAAACCGAAUCGUA